This 411-nucleotide ribosomal RNA is filed under the name uncultured bacterium. RNAcentral's name for it is "bacterial SSU rRNA". It matches the Rfam family "Bacterial small subunit ribosomal RNA", at positions 36 to 437 of the family's 1533-position model. The record is from RNAcentral.
CUGGCGGCGUCCCUAAUACAUGCAAGUCGAGCGAACUUUUGGGGGCUUGCUCCCAAAAGUUAGCGGCGGACGGGUGAGUAACACGUGGGCAACCUGCCUAUAAGACUGGGAUAACUUCGGGAAACCGGAGCUAAUACCGGAUAAUUCUUUUCUACACAUGUAGGAAAGCUAAAAGACGGUUUACGCUGUCACUUAUAGAUGGGCCCGCGGCGCAUUANCUAGUUGGUGAGGUAACGGCUCACCACGGCCACGAUGCGUAGCCGACCUGAGAGGGUGAUCGGCCACACUGGGACUGAUACACGGCCCAAACUCCCACGGGAGGCAACAGUAGGGAAUCUUCCGCAAUGGACGAAAGUCUGACGGAACAACGCCGCCUGAGUGAUGAAGGUUUUCGGAUCGUAAAACUCUGUU